UACGUAGGGGGCAAGCGUUGUCCGGAUUUAUUGGGCGUAAAGAGCGUGUAGGCGGCCGUACAGGUCAGCUGUGAAAACUCGAGGCUCAACCUCGAGACGUCGGUUGAAACCGUACGGCUAGAGUCCGGAAGAGGAGAGUGGAAUUCCCGGUGUAGCGGUGAAAUUCGUAGAUAUCGGGAGGAACACCAGUGGCGAAGGCGGCGACCUGGGCCAAUAUUGACGCUGAGGUGCGAAAGCGUGGGGAGCAAACAGG
This 253-nucleotide ribosomal RNA is filed under the name uncultured bacterium. Its description in RNAcentral is "partial 16S ribosomal RNA". It matches the Rfam family "Bacterial small subunit ribosomal RNA", at positions 524 to 776 of the family's 1533-position model. The record is from RNAcentral.